GUGCUGUGAGUGGCUUCUGUAUAGGGCGCAGGCGUCUAGAAUAGGCGAAGGUUGGUGGUGCCCAAAACCUCAGAGAUGCCAGCAAUCGCGGAGCCCCAAGUGGUGUUACAGCUCUUGCUUGGGGAGUCCCAAGGUUUGGGCCCCAAGAAAAGUUGCAGCUCUUUACUCUCGUAGCUCAGCCAGUGGGAGCGUGUUAUAGCUGUCUUUCUCCUGUAGUCCGGUGAGCAGGAAUGUGUUAUAGCUCUUUCAUUCCAGCCGCCCACAGCUGAGUGAGUUCCAAGUUCUUGUCCUGUGACCAAGAGGAAUAAGGUGUGUGGACACUGGAGAGUAAGUAAGGCAGAGAAGAAUUUUAUUGAGCGACAGAAGGAAAGCCCUCAACUGUGAAAAGGGACCCUGAAAGUGGGUUGUCAUCUGUGAGGCUGAGUCUGGGCUUGUCUGGGUUUACAAUGGGAGAAUGUGUGCUGAUUGGUCCAUAGGUGUUCUUUGAAAAAAUCACCAUCCAAUUGGUUAAAAAGCAUCAUCCGGAAGGAACCAAUCAAGAGAGAGAAGGUCUGAUAAAUUGACCCCAGUGCUCAUCUAUUAAUUCAAAAGAAGCUUUGUGCUUGCAUCAGCGCUGCCUGACACAGGGGAAAAUGAGAAAUGCGGCCAUUGAUAUACAGAGAACGGCAAUGUGGCUAAACUGAAGAGAGUAGGCUUUUGGCCAGCUACUUCCAACAUGGCUCAUUUCAAAUUCUCACUUGU
This 741-nucleotide long non-coding RNA is filed under the name Homo sapiens (human). RNAcentral's name for it is "HSALNT0374358". The record is from RNAcentral. Lineage: Eukaryota; Metazoa; Chordata; Mammalia; Primates; Hominidae.